GUGCCAGCCGCUGCGGUAAUACAGAGGGUGCGAGCGUUAAUCGGAUUUACUGGGCGUAAAGCGUGCGUAGGCGGCUAAUUAAGUCGGAUGUGAAAUCCCCGAGCUCAACUUGGGAAUUGCAUUCGAUACUGGAUAGCUAGAGUAUUGGAGAGGAUGGUAGAAUUCCAGGUGUAGCGGUGAAAUGCGUAGAGAUCUGGAGGAAUACCGAUGGCGAAGGCAGCCAUCUGGCCAAAUACUGACGCUGAGGUACGAAAGCAUGGGGAGCAAACAGGAUUAGAUACCCUGGUAGUCCAUGCCGUAAACGAUGUCUACUAGCCGUUGGUCUCUUUGAGGGAUUAGUGGCGCAGCUAACGCGAUAAGUAGACCGCCUGGGGAGUACGGUCGCAAGACUAAAACUCAAAUGAAUUGACGGGGCCCGCACAAGCGGUGGAGCAUGUGGUUUAAUUCGAUGCAACGCGAAGAACCUUACCUGGUCUUGACAUAGUGAG
Molecule: ribosomal RNA, 488 nt
Filed under: uncultured Acinetobacter sp.
Lineage: Bacteria; Pseudomonadati; Pseudomonadota; Gammaproteobacteria; Moraxellales; Moraxellaceae
Description: bacterial SSU rRNA
Rfam family: Bacterial small subunit ribosomal RNA
Source: RNAcentral